UACCAGACUCCUACGGGAGGCAGCAGUGAGGAAUAUUGGUCAAUGGCCGGAAGGCUGAACCAGCCAAGUCGCGUGAGGGACGACUGCCCUAUGGGUUGUAAACCUCUUUUAUAAGGGAAGAAUAAAUGCUACGUGUAGCAUGAUGCCUGUACCUUAUGAACAAGCAUCGGCUAACUCCGUGCCAGCAGCCGCGGUAAUACGGAGGAUGCGAGCGUUAUCCGGAUUUAUUGGGUUUAAAGGGUGCGCAGGCGGCGUGUCAAGUCAGCGGUAAAAUGUCGGGGCUCAACCCCGGCCGGCCGUCGGAACUGCCGGGCUAGAGUGGGCGAGAAGUGCGCGGAAUGCGUGGUGUAGCGGUGAAAUGCAUAGAUAUCACGCAGAACUCCGAUUGCGAAGGCAGCGCACCGGCGCCCUACUGACGCUCAGGCACGAAAGCGUGGGUAUCGAACAGGAUUAGAUACCCGUGUA
Molecule: ribosomal RNA, 465 nt
Filed under: uncultured bacterium
Lineage: Bacteria
Description: partial 16S ribosomal RNA
Rfam family: Bacterial small subunit ribosomal RNA
Source: RNAcentral